RNAcentral lists this long non-coding RNA (846 nucleotides) under Phasianus colchicus (ring-necked pheasant). RNAcentral's name for it is "lncRNA (ENSPCLG00000017603.1)". Lineage: Eukaryota; Metazoa; Chordata; Aves; Galliformes; Phasianidae. The record is from RNAcentral.
CCCUAAUCCCAUAAUUCCCACAAUCCCCUAAUCCCAUUAAUCCCAUGAUCCCAUCAAUCCCAUUAAUCCCACAAUCCCACAAUCCCCCAAUCCCCUAAUCCCAUUAAUCCCAUUAAUCAGUGAUUCCAUUCAUCCCACAAUCCCACAAUCCCCUAAUCCCAUCAAUCCCAUUAAUCCCAUAAAUCCCACAAUCCCCUAAUCCCCUAAUCCCAUUAAUCCCAUUAAUCAGUGAUUCCAUUCAUCCCACAAUCCCACAAUCCCCUAAUCCCAUCAAUCCCAUUAAUCCCAUUAAUCCCAUUAAUCCCACAAUCCCAUUAAUCCCCUAAUCCCCUAAUCCCACAAUCCUACAAUCCCACUAAUCCCAAUCAUCCUAUUCAUCCCACAAUCCCACAAUCCCCUAAUCCCAUAAAUCCCACAAUCCCCUAAUCCCAUUCAUCCCAUUCAUCCCAUUCAUCCCAUUAAUCCCACAAUCCCACAAUCCCCUAAUCCCAUAAAUCCCACAAUCCCCUAAUCCCAUUAAUCCCUUAAUCCCAUUCAUCCCAUUCAUCCCAUUCAUCCCACGAUCCCAUAAAUCCCACGAUCCCAUCAAUUCCCCCAUAGGGUCCUCGGGGUCAGCGCGGUCCGCGCGGCGCCACCGGCAAAUCAGGAGCCAAGGGGACGUCGGGCAGCGAUGGACCGCAUGGACCCCCGGGAGAGAGGGGCGUACCUGGAGCUGCCGGCCCCAAUGGAUUCCCCGGCCCCAAAGGACCCCCGGUGAGCCCCAAAUGACCCCAAAAUGGCCCCAAAAUGGCCCCAAAUGGCCCUAAAUGACCCCAAAUGGCCCCAAAUGACCCCAAAUUGCUUCGU